AUGACAGUGCAGAAGACCUGGGUUUCCCCUUUGCUUUUUGCUUCUGCUGAUUUUCUUUUGACUCCCAACAUCUUUGCUUUUCUCUUUCAACAGCCACCUCGCUCCUCACCUCCCCACCUACGUGCUGGGGAUCAAACCCGGGCCUCAAGAAUGCUAAGCAAGUGCUCCAUUACUGAACUACAUCCCCAGCAACUCCCCAAAGAUGUUAUUCUUUGGACUGUCAUUAUUUUUCAAGGUAUGAUCACUUGUGGCAUUCCUAAGGCAAGUCUGGAUACAUGCAGCAUUCCAACCCUGAGUGCCUUUUCAAGUUUCCAACAGACUCCUGUGCUGAUGAGUGAUGAUAACUUUAUUGUAGUAGCCUCAAGGUGUGGAAGUUGUUUUCUGUGGCCUAGGCGAGGCCCAAUCUCUCCACUUGUCGAAACAUCUGCAAAUACUUUGUUCAUUUCAGAGACAUCUGAUCACAGCCAGUCUCCCAUAUGGAUUGCUUCCUUUUUCCUUGUUCCUGUAAAGCAUCAAUAAUCUGGGGAGGUACUCCUCAGAAGAGAAGCGGGAAGGCCUGGGGACUAGAGUUCUGAUGGGUUUUCUCUCACAUUCGUUAACUGAUUCAAUCAUCAUCAUGUAUUAGGCGGUAUUUGCAAUGCAAAUAUCAGUAAGCAGUAGUCUCUGUCUUCAAACAAGGAACAAUCUAAUGCAGGCUUCAUUUGUCUCAAGGUGGGGAUUAUGUGUUUAUCGUAAUAAAUUACAUCUACCAAGGGUCUUCUAUAUAUAAAAAUCCACAAGUCCUUUCAUUUUCUUAUUUUUGGAAGAUAGUGUUUAUGAAGUAGUUUACAUAAACUCUUUAAUUGGUUUUCCCAUUUUGAAGCCACAUAAAAUUGAAAGCAACAAUCUUUAAAGGCUUUGAUAAAUACUAGACAUUAGUUUAAUACCAUGGAAAUCUUUGAUAAGUGAAAUGAUAAAGUGUAGCACAGAUAAUCAGAUUCCUUCACAUGUCUCAUCUGCUUUAGGUCUGUAUCUUAAGUUACAAAACUAACUGCUUAAUCAUUGUUAGAAACUAUAUUUUUAUUGAUUAAUUAAUGUAUUUAUUUUUGGUACCAGGACUUUGAGGUUGUGAGACAGGUGUGGUGGCACUGAGGUAAAUCCCUGGCCCCUAGAAACUAUUUUUUAAAGUGUGUUAAUUUAUUUGGAUCACUUUAUGCCCCAUACAUUAAUUCCAGGUUUGCACUAUAUAUUUAUACAAUGCACAAAUUUGCACAUUUUAAUGUUGAACUCUCAUUUCAUAACAAAUCACAUGAAUUUUUAAUUAACUGUUCCUGUAGUAGUUGAGCAAUAAUUACACCUUCAAAGCACUAGGAGAUUUAAGGUAUAUUCAGGGUGUGGCCCAUCUACCCAGGAUUUCAAAACCGCGUGGUUCUUUGGGUCCUGUUGGGGCUCAUCUAUUUGCACAUCUCCCCUGCAGAAGUUUGUACUAAUCAGGUCACUACAUCCUGACAUGGCACUCUCUACUUACUGUUUGUACCAUGAUGUAAUGUCAACAGACUACAGGGAAGUUAGCAACAGGAAAAAUAAAAUGUUUUAAUCCCAAGGCCAUCCCCAGGAUUCAGGAGAUUACACACACUAUAUCAAAUCCUCUGAUAUCAAGCCCUACCAAUGAGCUCUGCCAAAGUGUGGAGCCAUUCUCUGACCGUACAACCCUCCCUAGUGGCAAUGCAGGACUGAGGUAAACUGUUGUGAGCUGAUGGUUCUUCCAUUUUGUUUACAUUGAAAAGGCAGGUGGUUGUUCUAUUAUGGCUUUCUUCUUCUGUACAACAUUUCACACAGCAUCAUGACUUAGCUGGUCUUGAUUUACACAGAUAUGAAUUAACACCUUGGAAGAUUUGGGUUCACUUUUCCUUUAGCCUUGGCUUCCCACUACCCACAACACUCUUCCGUCUUGAGCCCAGAGCAGAGCAAUGCUAUUAAAUACAACAGGAAAAUACAUGUCAAGAGGCAGAAGGGAGCUAGCUGCUCGAGAAUCCUGAAGAACAAAGAAAGCUUCUACAACUUCAUGGUGCUUUUGUCAAAUUAGUAGAUAACAAACCUUCUGAAGGUAGAUGCAAGGCACCUUGGCAGGUGAAGCUAGGACUGGCGAUCAGUGGCUACCACCUCCCUUACGGUUCACCGAGGACCACUGUUCAGUCAGCAAUCUGAACUACUACUUGAGAUCCUGGCAGAAAGAGCAGGCAAAGCCUCAACAUGAUGGGAGAGGGCACUGAGAAAAAGGAGUAACUAUGAUAAGAAGAACGAUGGGAAGCAAAGUAUUGUGUGCUUUUUGUUUUAGAAUUUUCUACAUAGAAGAGACGAAGGACGGGCCCUUGACUUCUGAGUCCAGCUCAAACUACCUGUCCUAUCCUGAGCUUCCUUCUUGAAAAGUCUAUGUGUGGUGCCUCUUCUUUAUCUCUCAAAGGUCCUUUACUAAAAGCCUCAAACAAGAGUUUCAUAUUUACACCCAUAAGGAGUGUGCAAGGUGUUAGUAUUCCUAAGGUGAUCUACCUUUACAAAAAGGCCAGACAUUUAAACAUUAAUAAGGUUUUGUCUGUUCACUGUACUAUGCCCUAGAACAAGGCCUGACCCACAGAAGCUCUCUUAAUAUGUUGAAUAAAUUUCUAAUCCUAAACCUUUAGUCAUUUAGCAACAGAAAAUCACGCCAAGGAGUUCCUUGCCUUCCAGGGUCUACUAAUUAAAAUAAUUAAAAUAUAUCAUGUACCGGUACAAAUUCCCUAUGAUGAAUGUUAUCAUUAUGUAUAUUAAAAAUGUACGAAUAAAAAUUUUAACAAAAGGUUCUACAUAUUAAGAAGAGUCAUCAAAAAUUAAGUUUUCUCCUAAGCACAUCAUAGGCUAGGUCUCAGCUCAGAAAAUACCAUCACCACAGAGUACUAAAUAGCAUACUAACACUAGUAGUAGAUACUAUUAUAUAUCUUAUGUAUAAUUCUAUUAUUAUUAGAGUAAUACUGAUUUUCUCCAAUGUCCACUGCACAGCAUGAGCCAUUUUCUGAACAAUGAUACCGAGGAAACAGGCCAAACAUUUUGUCAGAAUCCAGCCUUCUAUACUGUUUGUUAGUACUUGACUAUGUACAGUUUUAAAAACUGGUGAUACAGUUGUAGCAGUGAUACUUUUGUAAUUUUAGGUAUGAUAGUCUUAAGAGUGGUGCUAUUUAUAGUAGCUGAACAUCAUCCUCCUUUCUUCCUAAGGACUCAAAGCACUUGUGGUGAGGUUGUGCUCGUCCCACCUCUGGUGAGGCGGGCAGGUUGUAACCCUUAUUUCCACCAUACCAGGAUUACACGUGAGUCAGACGGGCGGGCACCACUUACUCAUGACAAUUUAAUUCAUGGCUGUAGCCACUAGAGAAUAUUGCUUAAACAUUAAUUCAUUCCUUCGAUGUAUGAAUUUGAUAGUUUGUUGAACAGACUCAACUAAGUCCUUACUGAAUCCAGAUCAUAUCAACAUUACAAACUGUAAAAAAAGAAAUUCUCAUAAAUUCAGAAGAGAUUUUUCUGUGCGGUGUGAUUAAUCCUAAUGGUUACACAGUGACAUACCUACCAAUGAAUCACACAUAUACUAAGUUAAUGACUGAACGAUUUUGCUGAGGCUGGGGCUGUAGUUCCGGGCAGAGGGCCCGCACAGUACCAAGGCCCUGGGCUCAAUCCCCAGAACUGGGGGAGGUAGCGUGUAGAUAUGUAACUCUUACACUGCAGAUGUUAUUCAUGUAUCUAUAAGGCUGGAUUUUUUUAUUCGACGUUUGGCCCACAGCUCAAUACGUGCAUUUUCUAAGUCUAAUUAGAAAUUUUGGCUGCAUAGUGUCGAUUUGGUACAAGAUGUUCAAGACCAUGAAAAGAUGAAUGUUAGGGCUUCAUGUCAUAAACUGAUUUUUUUCCAGUUCAUCUGUCCUUUUCGGUAACCUGACUGUACCCUGUGACUCUUACUGAACUCACAAUUAUUCCUUUUGCCAAACCACGCCCCCAGACUUGCGUGUAUAAAUCAAAUUUCAUGCACGCAUAUGCAAGCUGUGUGUACUGUCUGUUAAACGAAGGAACAAAUUAAAAGCAUAUUUCAAUGAGGUCUAUGUUGUAGUUUUUAAAGUUACCUGCUGAGGGUACCGUGUACAACACUGACUCACAGGGGUGAUUUUCACCGUGCAUCUCGCAAGGUAAUUUACUAAUCGAAUCCAGUGCCUUAACCGUGCAGGACCCAUUUUGUUCAGCUUUCUCCUGGGCGCUCGCCUUCCCCUCCGAACGUUUCUGACCCCGCUCCUGCCCGGCCUGGGAGGGGCUGAUCCGCCCCCGGCUCCCUCCGCUGGAG
This is a long non-coding RNA of Fukomys damarensis (Damara mole-rat), 4336 nucleotides long. NCBI's taxonomy places the organism in Eukaryota, Metazoa, Chordata, Mammalia, Rodentia, Bathyergidae. The record is from Ensembl.